This 1462-nucleotide ribosomal RNA is filed under the name metagenome. RNAcentral's name for it is "bacterial SSU rRNA". It matches the Rfam family "Archaeal small subunit ribosomal RNA". The record is from RNAcentral.
UCCGAUUGAUCCCGUCGGACCUUACUGCUAUCGAGAUGGGACUAAACCAGGCCAGUCGAACGACCCGGAUUAUGGUGGGGAGUGGCGCACUGCUCAGUAACACGUAGCUAACCUAACCUCAAGACGGAAAUAACCCCGGGAAACUGGGGUCAAUGUCCGAUAGAUGUGAAUUCCUGGAAUGGUGUCACAUCCAAACGUCAACACACCAUGUUGUGCGAACGCUUGAGGAUGGGGCUGCGGCCGAUCAGGCUGUUGGUGGGGUAAUGGUCCACCAAACCUUUGACCGGUAUGGGCCAUGAGAGUGGUAGCCCAGAGAUGGACACUGAGACAAGGGUCCAGGCCCUACGGGGCGCAGCCGGUACGAAACCUCCACAAUGCACGCAAGUGCGAUGGGGUUAUCUCGAGUGCUAUCUGAAAAAGGUAGCUUUUCCAUGGUCUAAAUAGCCGUGGGAAUAAGGGGGGGGCAAGACUGGUGUCAGCCGCCGCGGUAACACCAGCCCCCCGAGUGGUAGGGAUGUUUAUUUGGCCUAAAGCGUCCGUAGCCGGCUAAGUAAAUUUCUCGUUAAAUCCAACGUCCUAAGUGUUGGGCUGCGAGAAAGACUGCUUAGCUAGAGGGUGGGAGAGGUCAGCGGUAUUUUUGGGGUAGGGGCGAAAUCCAUUGAACCCAGGAGGAUUAUUAGUGGUGAAGGCUGCUGACUAGAACACGCCUGACGGUGAGGGACGAAAGCUGGGGUAGCGAAUCGGAUUAGAUACCCGAGUAGUCCCAGCCGUAAACGAUGCAGACUAGGUGUUGGGUUGGCCACGCGCCGACUCAGUGCCACAGGGAAGCCAUUAAGUCUGCCGCCUGGGAAGUACGGCCGCAAGGCUGAAACUUAAAGGAAUUGGCGGGGGAGCACCACCAGGCGUGAAGCCUGCGGUUUAAUUGGAGUCAACGCCGGGAACCUUACCGGGAGCGACAGCAGAGUGAAGGCCAGGCUAAAGGUCUUGCCAGACGAGCUGAGAGGAGGUGCAUGGCCGUCGCCAUUUCGUGCCGUGAGGUGUCCUCUUAAGUGAGGUAACGAACGAGACCCGCGCCGCAUGUUGCUAACAAGUCCUAAAGGGAUGUUGAGUAUUUUUGCGGGACCGCAGCCGACAAGGCUGAGGAAGGUGCGGGCAACGGCAGGUCAGUAUGCCCCGAAUCUCCCGGGCCACACGCGGGCUGCAAUGUAGAGACAGAGGGCUGCAACCCCGAAAGGGGAAGCCAAUCCCUAAACUCUACCUCAGUUGGGAUUGAGGGCUGCAACCCGCCCUCAUGAACAUGGAAUGCCUAGUAACUGCCAGUCAUCAUCUGGCGGUGAAUACGUCCCUGCUCCUUGCACACACUGCCCGUCGAACCACCCGAAUGAGGUUGGGGUGAGGCAUGAUCGAAUGUUGGUCGUGUCGAACCUGGGCCUCGUAAGGAGGGUUAAGUCGUAACAAGGUG